Long non-coding RNA from Talpa occidentalis (Iberian mole), 424 nucleotides. RefSeq lists it as uncharacterized. The transcript has 3 exons. The record is from RefSeq and is a predicted model, not a curated record. Lineage: Eukaryota; Metazoa; Chordata; Mammalia; Eulipotyphla; Talpidae.
CAUGGAUGACACCUUGGCCCCACACCUGCCCCCUAAAUGACCCAAGACAGCUGAGGGCAAUAUAUGUGGUUCAGUUCUUGCCCUGACAGCUUGGCUUGGAUCUCCACCUGCCUGUGACCUGUCCCUGUGGCCGCAAGGGUGCUGACUGACAAGAAGUAAAACUGAAAGAAAAAAGAAAAGCACUUGGAACUAGGAACUAGAAUUUCUAGAUCUCUGCGUGAUGGGCAUUUACUUCUGGGUUUCAAGAUCCUCUUGCCAGACCAGCAGUGCUAAACUCAUCUUGCCUGGGAGCCUUACCAUCAGCAGUCACGUGUCAAUGGGCGCUCACUGCAUGCCAGUGCAACACACAUGUGCAAAUACUCGAAGACUAGAAAGUAUCCUGGGUAUUGUGAAAUCUUAAGGCACGAAAAUAAAUUUGUUAAAG